RNAcentral lists this long non-coding RNA (1481 nucleotides) under Homo sapiens (human). RNAcentral describes it as "HSALNT0320638". Lineage: Eukaryota; Metazoa; Chordata; Mammalia; Primates; Hominidae. The record is from RNAcentral.
CGGCGCGUCCCGGUCACGUGACGCGAGAGCGCGCCCUUCGCGCGUCCCCCCACCCCUAUCCCCCUAGUUUUUUUUUUUUCCCUUUCCUCCUCGGUCCCGCCCUCUCGCUACCCUUUAUACCUUCCUCUCACGCUCCGCGUUGCACAGCCUUGGGGGCCUUUAAAAGGAACCGGAAGUGUCGUGAGCUAAGACAGUCGCGCGGGGACCAUCGAGAACAAGGAGUGCUGUUUCGAAGUAGCGGCUAGAGGGGCCCCCUGCCUCCGCCCCCGCCCUUCCGAGGAUUCCUGGAGUCCACUCACCCCUCCCCACCACUCCAGUAGCGGCGGGAGCAGCAGCGUUAGGCCGGGGUGUGGCUGCACCUCUGCGAAGGCUGUCGUGCCCCGUGCAGCUGCGGCGUUCGGGUGGGGGAGGGGAGGCUCACACCCUGCGGCGGCUUAAGCCUGGAUUUACGCACUGGAGGAGGGAAUUAGCCCUGAGAUGUCAGCCCUGUGCCCCUGGCGCUGUCCACCCGGACGCCCGCGGAGCGCCAGGCGCCGCAGCGGACCGCGCGCGCACUGAUUGCCGCAGCUACUCUCCCUGCCGUCGCCGCCCGGGACCGGGUGACAUUGAGGUUUUCGUCUAUCGCCGCUGGGCCGAUAGGGCUUCUUUUUAAGAUUUGGCUUUCCAAGUAAGAUUUUUGUUUGCCUGCUUUUCUCCUGGAAUUUUUUUGUUUUUGGUCGAAGAAGCAGGUAACUUGCAUAUCUUAAGGAAAACAUUGUUUUUGCUUUGCUUUUGUUGUUUAAAGAUCCUAAAACGUACCGUGAUUCCUUUACGUUACUAAUAAUUGGAAAGUGUGUUAAAUCAAGGGUUCGCUUAAUGUUCUUUAGCCUUUGUACAUAGAAUAUAUAAAUGUCGUGAGUCAUCUUUACGAGGUUUAUGAGUUUGUGUUCGGGUUUGGCUUUUUUGUUGUGUGUGCGUGGUUUUUUUUUUUCUUUUCUUGUAACACCGUUAGGCGUUUCAUUAAGGUGUAUAAAAAGUAAUUUUAUACACCUAUUAAAAAUUCCCGCUGCCUCGGCUGGAGACUGGAUUAUUCGGGCUUUGGGAUUUGCUGCUUCCAGCAGUAUCCUUAGAAGAAAAUGAAGCUUCUAGGUACUUCUGUAGUCAACAAAUAAUUAUUUGCCUGUUUAAUUAAAGUGUUCGGGCACGGGGGAAACAAAGACGAGUUUGCAGACUCCAGCAAAAAUCUUAAGAGUUUAAGUAUUUGGGCCGGGCGCGGUGGCUCACGCCUGUAAUCCCAGCACUUUGGGAGGCCGAGGCGGGCGGAUCACGAGGUCAGGAGAUCGAGACCAUCCUGGCCAACACGGUGAAAACCCCGUCUCUACUAAAAGUAGAAAAAAAAUUAGCUGGGCGUGAUGGCGGGCGCCUGUAGUCCCAGCUACUCGGGAGGCUGAGGCAGGAGAAUGGCGUGAACUCGGGAGGCAGAGCUUGCAGUGAGCCAAGAU